ACGUAUUUUCUCAGACCCUCCCAUGUUCCUUCUUCUCACACCAGUCUCCUCUCUUCUCACACCACCCUUCUCCACCCCUCCCUCGUCUCUUUCUUGUCUGCACAGGCGGCACCACCACAGUCGGCCACCCACAACCGAACAACAAAACACUCAUGUCUCCUUUCCCCUGUUCUACUACUACCGUCGCGGAUCCGCCUGCUUCCGGCGAAGUCUGACCCCGACUCACCUAAAUCACAAUCCAACCCGACUGACCACCACCCAUGCUAUCAACUCCGGCCACCCCGAAUUCAACAGCCGCCGCGCCGCACAAAACACUCUCCCAGACACACGCCAAUUACAUGCUGUAGCACACACAUCAAGCACCAUCCAAUCGUUAAUUAACAACAGAUUUGUCAAACCCUAACCCUAAAGUCACAGGCGGUGGAGUUCGGGGGAAAUCGGAGAAACGUGAUUUCGAUUAAAUCGGAGGUUCAAUACUUGCUUGAUUGUGUGUUUUGGUUGUGUUUAUGGUUGAAUCGGUGGCUAGAGGUGAGGUUUUGUUGAUGGUGGCUGGGUUGGUCGCGGAAGAAGAUGGGGGCACAGUUUAUGAUUGAAAUAUUGUAUAAAAACCCGUUUUUACCCUUAUUUCCGUUACUCCCGUUAAAUGAUAUUUAACGGGAGCCACUUUUUUAAAACACGGAGACAAAGUGUAGCCACUGUUCUGAGAAUUUGAAAGUUUGGCCAAUUUUUUAAAAAUGGGUGUAAACUUUGGCCACAACUCUGAAGUUUACUCUAUAUAUAUAUCAAGAAGUUCACUGUUCAAAACUCUUUCUCAAAAACAAGACUCUUUGAAUUGAUUCCUUUUCAUAUACCCCGUCUUCUAUCUUUUUUUCCCCUCUCAAUUUAAAUUAUGGAUGAAAAAGCUGGAGACGAAGUUUUAGUAGAUCUAAAUGAUAUCAUUAAACUUCUUCAGACAAAAGAUGUGGAGGAACUCUGUGAAUCAUAUGAGUCGGGACAUAACAAUAAGACCGUGGAAAAAGAUGGUUCUACAGACAAAAAUCAAGGCGCAAAUAAGUGUGAUACGUUAGUAAUCAUUUCAACCAGAGAUUUUUCAACUCGUGAGGAACUUUUGAAUAAUGUUCAUGAGAUUGUAUUUAAGCAAGGAUUUGGGACAAAAAUUAAAAUAUUGAAGAUAAAUUGUUAUGUUAUAAUUGGUUGUGACAUGGGAGAUACGCAUCGCUCAAAUAAACCAUUUAAGGAAAAGAGAAGAAAGGUGCUCAUGUCAUUUUGAAGCAAUAUUUGAAUGUUUCUACAGGUGAUUUUCGUGAUGUCAAAGACAAAAUUUCUCUAGCAAUCCGUUGAUCGAAUCUUCUGAAUAACUUUGUACGUACUGACGUUCUGUGCACUGGUCUGGUUCACGAACGACUAAUAAUGAAGUAAUUCUUUGAAUUCUUUACUUGAUGAAAUACUUGAUCAGUCAUUCCGGGUUUGAUAUUGCUUCGAUAAAUUUGAUUAUAAAUAAUCAGGAUAGGUAUACUGGAAUCUUCUAGUUCUUGAAACUUGAUCGUCAGGCAAUCUUUGAUAGCAGAAACUACUUGGACUUUAUUCUUCACUGAGGCAUGAACAUAUUAAUGAACUUCUUUCAGUUGACGGAUGUUCGUCUCAGAUAUCUUGAUUGUCUUUGUAUGUUCGUAUCAGAUCUCCAACCUGUAGGUUCCUGUAUCAUACUUACGUAUUGUUUCAUGUUUUUUUUUGUUGUGAUGAGUUAUCGCAAUUACAUUACGAGUUA
This is a long non-coding RNA of Daucus carota subsp. sativus, 1768 nucleotides long. RefSeq lists it as uncharacterized. The transcript is spliced from 2 exons. Lineage: Eukaryota; Viridiplantae; Streptophyta; Magnoliopsida; Apiales; Apiaceae. The record is from RefSeq and is a predicted model, not a curated record.